GUUAAGCUUGGGGAAUGUAUUCCAGUCCCCACAUUGGUUCUUCCCACACUUCUGCCACUUCAGAGUGUGCUAUUGAAAGUUAAAGUGGAAGAUUGAUUCCUCCUGGUGUUUUCUGCCAGCAGCUAAGAUUAUAAUAUGGAACUGGUGUGGAGGACCCAGAGGAAACUUCUCUACGAUCCACAGCAUCUUAUCAAGGCCCUCCUUGCUCUUAUAACCUUAUGUGGAUUCUCUUGGCUCUGUGGUAUCUUGACCUCCUCAAAUCUAGCCAGUUUCUGUUUUUUGUUUUGUUUUUUUUUGGUCAGGACUCCAAGGGCUCCAGCAUCACCCAGCUUGACUUCUGCUCACUCUCAGGCACCAACAUCAAGCCUGGUUUGGAGAUUCUCUUGUGUCUGCAGCUGGGAGAACAAGAAGAACAGCCCAUGUAUUUUCUUCUCCAGCAUCACUGUUUCUGUCAUGGUGUCAAUAAGUUAUUCUACCUCAUGCAGAAGUACAAUGCUCCUUCAUUAAGUGAGAUUAGAUUGAAGACUGGCAAGAGCAGAUGCAAGGAAAGGCUUGAUGAUACUCCCACCACUGAUCUGCUUUAAUCAAAAGACAUCCUCAUGCACUUACUUCCCGCCACUGAGGACUGAGUCUACACCAAAGGAACACCUCUAGAUGAACCAUCUGCUGCCAGGUAAAUGAGUUGGAUGACUUCUCAGUAACCAUCCCAAUUUUGUAAUAUUCU
RNAcentral lists this long non-coding RNA (724 nucleotides) under Fukomys damarensis (Damara mole-rat). RNAcentral's name for it is "lncRNA (ENSFDAG00000030170.1)". The record is from RNAcentral. Lineage: Eukaryota; Metazoa; Chordata; Mammalia; Rodentia; Bathyergidae.